UCCGCUAAGGAGAGGAACAAGCAUUGGGUAAGGGGGGAAAGAAGCAGUGGAGGGACAAGGAAAAGAACAAGGCAGACAGGGAGAAAAGAGAACAGUGAGGGAUAGGGAGGUGGAGGUUAAAUGAAUAGAGCAGAGAAUGACAAACGAGUAGUGGAGGGGGGGAAUGAGCAGAGAGGGAGUAAAAGGAGCAGGGGAGGAACUGGAAGGUUAAAUGAAUAGAGCAGAGAGAAAGAAAGGAGCAGUGCGGGGAGAUGGAGAAAAACGAACACAGCAGAGAGCGAAAGAAAGGAGCAGUGGAGGGAGGGGGAAAUGAGCAGAGAGGUAGUGAAAUGAGCAGGGGAGUAAGGGGUUAAACAAAUAGAGCAGAGAGUGGCAGAAACGGAGCAGCGGAGGGAGGGGGAAACAAACAGAGAGGGAGAGAAAGGAGCAGGGGAGGGAGGGGGAUGUGAGCUGAGAGUGCCAGAAAGGAGCAGUGGAGGGAGUAAAACAAACACAGCAGAGAGUGAAAGAAAUGAGUAGUGGAGGGAGGGGGAAACAAACAGAGAGAGUCAGUGAAAUGAGCAGGGGAAGAAGGGGUUAAGUGAAUAGAGCAGAGAGAAAGAAAAGGAGCAGUGGGGGAGAGGGAGUAAAAGGAACAGGGGAGGAGGGGUUAAACAAAUAGAGCAGAGAGAGACAGAAACGGAGCAGUGGAGGGAUUAAAACGAACACAGCUGAGAGUGAAAGAAACGAGUAGUGGAGGGAGAGGGAAACAAACAGAGGGAGACAAAUGAGCAGGGGAGGAGGGGGUUAAACAAAUCGAGCAGAGACUAAAAGAAACCAGCAGAAGGGAAACAAGCAGUAAGAAUGAUCCAGUCUGUAGAAGGAAUGCAGGGACGGACUGAGCGUGACAUCAUGAACAGCGCCGCCCACCUCUGCACGCCCAGUCCUCCCUCGCUGGAUGCAGCUCUAUUACACAGGCAGAAACGGCCGUCGGCUCCAGAGCCAGAUACCAGGGAUUCCAUGACAGGAAACUUAGCAAAGGGGCGGGCUGAACACAGUUUUCAUGCUUAUAUGGACAUAUUUGACCCAAAAGGUGCUGUCCAACGUCUCCCGAACCCUGUGUGGGGCCGUCCUAUAGCACAUAGUUCAACUGUAUCUCACUGCUGGCGGGUAUCCUGAGAAGAGAGUGGAAGGAAACAACAAAGUUAUUAUAUUGUUACUAUGUAUAAAUGUAUCCAGUGAAUAAAGAAACAUGUGAAUUC
Long non-coding RNA from Xenopus laevis (African clawed frog), 1241 nucleotides. RefSeq lists it as uncharacterized. Lineage: Eukaryota; Metazoa; Chordata; Amphibia; Anura; Pipidae. The record is from RefSeq and is a predicted model, not a curated record. The transcript has 2 exons.